This 230-nucleotide unclassified non-coding RNA is filed under the name uncultured fungus. RNAcentral describes it as "sequence contains ITS1". Lineage: Eukaryota; Fungi. The record is from RNAcentral.
GUAUUGAUUGCGUAUAACCGCAAAAAGAAAACAUUCUGUAUUGUGUCAAGUUUUAUGUGAAAACGCAAGCCCUCCCCGGCAAAAGGGGGGGACCCACGCGGUGAUGCACAAAAAGGGUGAGAUGGAUUGGUGUGAAAGGGCUCGGGCGUGCACGACCUUUGGAGGUCAGCGACAGCCCUUGCACCUCCCGUUGUACGAUAAUGAUCCUUCCGCAGGUUCACCUACGGAAA